RNAcentral lists this ribosomal RNA (724 nucleotides) under uncultured Staphylococcus sp. RNAcentral's name for it is "bacterial SSU rRNA". It matches the Rfam family "Bacterial small subunit ribosomal RNA", at positions 72 to 781 of the family's 1533-position model. The record is from RNAcentral. Lineage: Bacteria; Bacillati; Bacillota; Bacilli; Caryophanales; Staphylococcaceae.
CGAGGAGCUUGCUCCUCUGACGUUAGCGGCGGACGGGUGAGUAACACGUGGAUAACCUACCUAUAAGACUGGGAUAACUUCGGGAAACCGGAGCUAAUACCGGAUAAUAUAUUGAACCGCGUGGUUCAAUAGUGAAAGACGGUUUUGCUGUCACUUAUAGAUGGAUCCGCGCCGCAUUAGCUAGUUGGUAAGGUAACGGCUUACCAAGGCAACGAUGCGUAGCCGACCUGAGAGGGUGAUCGGCCACACUGGAACUGAGACACGGUCCAGACUCCUACGGGAGGCAGCAGUAGGGAAUCUUCCGCAAUGGGCGAAAGCUUGACGGAGCAACGCCGCGUGAGUGAUGAAGGUCUUCGGAUCGUAAAACUCUGUUAUUAGGGAAGAACAAAUGUGUAAGUAACUAUGCACGUCUUGACGGUACCUAAUCAGAAAGCCACGGCUAACUACGUGCCAGCAGCCGCGGUAAUACGUAGGUGGCAAGCGUUAUCCGGAAUUAUUGGGCGUAAAGCGCGCGUAGGCGGUUUUUUAAGUCUAAUGUGAAAGCCCACGGCUCAACCGUGGAGGGUCAUUGGAAACUGGAAAACUUGAGUGCAGAAGAGGAAAGUGGAAUUCCAUGUGUAGCGGUGAAAUGCGCAGAGAUAUGGAGGAACACCAGUGGCGAAGGCGACUUUCUGGUCUGUAACUGACGCUGAUGUGCGAAAGCGUGGGGAUCAAACAGGAUUAG